GUCUCUGAGGCAGGGGAAAUAGCUUGGUGGUCUAAGCACCUUCCUGUCCAGCGCAAGCACCCAGGCUCGAUUCUCAGUAUCGCAGACUGUGCCAGUCCUGGAACCUC
This is a long non-coding RNA of Octodon degus (degu), 107 nucleotides long. RefSeq lists it as uncharacterized. The transcript is spliced from 3 exons. The record is from RefSeq and is a predicted model, not a curated record. NCBI's taxonomy places the organism in Eukaryota, Metazoa, Chordata, Mammalia, Rodentia, Octodontidae.